UCGGAUCCAAGCAAAGAAGAAAGGGUAUAGACACCCGUGGGCGGUGUGAGCCUUUCGGUCUCUCCGGGACAGGAAAAGACCCCUGUUUUGGCUCUGUUUUUCUUUCCUCCUCCUCCUCCUUCCUGGGUUUCUGUCAACAGUUUAAGGCCGACACCGGUCUUGGGUUUCUGUCAACAGUUUAAGGCCGACACCGGUGGAGGUUUCGGGAGGAGGGGUUGACUGAAGCAGUAGUGAGCAAUGGAAUCCAUGAGAGGAGGGAGGAAAUGGUGAUCCUGAGAGAUCCCAUUGAAAAAAGAGAAGGCAGGGGAGUGAAAGGGAAGGGAUUAUAUGGAGGAGGGUUUUGAUUGCAAGUUGGGUUCUUUUGGUCUUUCUAGAGAGAGAGAGAGAGAGCACACAGAAUGGAAGUCUCAAGAGAGAGAGUUC
This 423-nucleotide long non-coding RNA is filed under the name Eucalyptus grandis. RNAcentral describes it as "long non-coding RNA (EGRA_LNC001559)". Lineage: Eukaryota; Viridiplantae; Streptophyta; Magnoliopsida; Myrtales; Myrtaceae. The record is from RNAcentral.